Vespula pensylvanica (western yellowjacket) is the source of this 565-nucleotide long non-coding RNA. RefSeq lists it as uncharacterized. The transcript is spliced from 3 exons. The record is from RefSeq and is a predicted model, not a curated record. NCBI's taxonomy places the organism in Eukaryota, Metazoa, Arthropoda, Insecta, Hymenoptera, Vespidae.
UUGCCUUCCUUGCCACUAGUCUCAUCGCCAUCUUGGAUGCAGUGACAAGUGUACAUGGUGUUUCGUCGCUCCGCAUAAUUACAGAUUUUCAAGAAUUCCGGAGCUACAGUACAAAGCGUCGAAUAUUUCCAGUGUUUACUGGAAUUUAUUGGAUUUAUUUCUUCGAUACAUUUAUUCGAUAGGUAUAUCUAUAUACAUGUAUUUGUAUACGCUACACUGUACGCAGUAUUUGAGAAGUACCAACAAUAGACAAUCAAAGGACGACCAAGAGGACGACUUUCUUAGUUCAUUUCUACACACUCUUCGUUUGUAUCAGCUGUCCGUCCAGACGUGUUCAAACUUGUUUCUGCUUCUUCAAUUUUGGUUCCUCUAAUUUCUCAUUUACAUUAUAUAUAAUAUUUUAUAAUCUUAAUUUAAUCAUUAACAGCUUAUCAAUCUUAUUUUCUAUCCUAUUAGAUUGCGAUAUAUAAUAUAGCAUUUAUAUGUUGAAUAUGCAAAUCACAUUUACGUGCAUAAUCUUAUUCUCUAUUAAUAAUAGUUUGAAUAUUUUCAAGUAAUUAUUCAU